AGGUCAUGCCUAGUACGCGAGUGAGCGGCACAGCUCAAUUUGAAUCUGGCUCUUUUAGAGUCCGAGUUGUAAUUUGCAGAGGGCGCUUUGGCUUUGGCAGCGGUCCAAGUUCCUUGGAACAGGACGUCACAGAGGGUGAGAAUCCCGUACGUGGUCGCUGGCUAUUGCCGUGUAAAGCCCCUUCGACGAGUCGAGUUGUUUGGGAAUGCAGCUCUAAAUGGGAGGUACAUUUCUUCUAAAGCUAAAUAUUGGGCAGAGACCGAUAGCGCACAAGUAGAGUGAUCGAAAGAUGAAAAGACUUUGGAAAGAGAGUCAAACACACGUGAAAUUGUUGAAAGGGAACGCUUGCGCCAACUUGCUUACGUUGCUCAUCCGGUUCUACCGGUGCAGCGUCUGAGCAGCAGCUCAUUUGGGCGAGGAUAAGUUCUGCCGUCCUCUUCGUAGAGCUUUUGGGAGCGACUCACAGCGGCUAUGCCGACCGCUAGAGUGAGAAUGCGUAGCGCAGCUGAACCGGCA
This 516-nucleotide ribosomal RNA is filed under the name Alternaria alternata. RNAcentral's name for it is "partial large subunit ribosomal RNA". It matches the Rfam family "Eukaryotic large subunit ribosomal RNA", at positions 71 to 590 of the family's 3401-position model. The record is from RNAcentral. Lineage: Eukaryota; Fungi; Ascomycota; Dothideomycetes; Pleosporales; Pleosporaceae.